UCAAGGUAAAAAGAGCGUACGGUGGAUGCCUUGGCGCCAAGAGUCGAAGAAGGACGUGGUAAGCUGCGAAAAGCUUCGGUAAGCCGCAAGCAGGCGAAGAACCGGAGAUGUCCGAAUGGGGAAACCCGGCUGGAGUAGUAUCCAGUCAUCAAGCACUGAAUAAAUAGGUGUUUGAAGACAACCUGGGGAACUGAAACAUCUAAGUACCCAGAGGAAGAGAAAGAAAACUCGAUUCCCCGAGUAGCGGCGAGCGAAACGGGAAGAGCCUAAACCGGUUGCUUAGGCAACCGGGGUUGCGGGACUUUCAUGAGAAGUAUGGAAGCCUAGCCGAAGAGGUCUGGAAAGACCCAUCACAGAGGGUAACAAUCCUGUAGGCGAAAGGCGGAAAUGCUCGAAAGUAUCCCAAGUACCGCGGGACACGAGAAACCCCGUGGGAAUCCGGGGGGACCACCCCCCAAGGCUAAAUACUCCUUGGCGACCGAUAGUGAACCAGUACCGUGAGGGAAAGGUGAAAAGAACCCCGGGAGGGGAGUGAAAAAGAACCUGAAACCGUAUGCUUACAAACUGUCAGAGCACUAUAAAUGUGUGAUGGCGUACCUUUUGUAGAAUGGACCGGCGAGUUACGAUAACGAGCGAGGUUAAGUUGAGAAGACGGAGCCGAAGCGAAAGCGAGUCUUAAUAGGGCGGAAAGUUCGUUGUUGUAGACCCGAAACUUGGUGAUCUACCCAUGGUCAGGGUGAAGCUCAGGUAAGACUGAGUGGAGGCCCGAACCGACUUACGUUGAAAAGUGAGCGGAUGAAUUGUGGGUAGGGGUGAAAUGCCAAUCGAACCAAGAGAUAGCUGGUUCUCCCCGAAAUAGCUUUAGGGCUAGCCUCAAGAGAUGAUUUAUGGCGGUAGAGCACUGUUCGAGCUAGGGGCCUAACCAGGUUACCGAACUCUCACAAACUGCGAAUGCCAUAAAUUUAUCUUGGGAGUCAGACUGUGGGGGAUAAGCUUCAUAGUCGAAAGGGAAACAGCCCAGAUCGACAGCUAAGGUCCCAAAGUGUGUGCUAAGUGGAAAAGGAUGUAGAGUUGCUAAAACAACCAGGAUGUUGGCUUAGAAGCAGCCACCAUUUAAAGAGUGCGUAAUAGCUCACUGGUCGAGUGACCCUGCGCCGAAAAUGUAACGGGGCUCAAGCACACCACCGAAGCUUCGGAUUCAAGAAGCUUCUUGCUUCUUGAGUGGUAGGGGAGCGUACUGAACACGAAGAAGGUUUACCGGAAGGAGAGCUGGAGAGUUCAGUAGUGAGAAUGCCGGUAUGAGUAAGCGAAAAGGCAGGUGAGAAUCCUGCCCGCCAAAAACCUAAGGGUUCCUGGGGAAGGCUCGUCCGCCCAGGGUAAGUCAGGACCUAAGUCGAGGCGAAAAGCGUAGAUGAUGGACAAUCGGUAAAGAUUCCGAUACCACCUGGAUCCGUUUGAAGGAAGGGGUGACACAGGAGGGUAGGUCAAGCGCACGGUUGGUAGAGUGCGUCCAAGCCUGUAGGGAGAAAGAUAGGAAAAACCGUCUUUCAAAGAUCCUGAGAGGUGAUGGGGAGCGAAAAUAAGUAGCGAACUGACUGAUCCCACACUGUCAAGAAAAGCCUCUAACGAGGAGCCAGGUGCCUGUACCGAAAACCGACACAGGUAGGUGGGGUGAGAAUCCUAAGGCGCGCGAGAGAACCCUUGUUAAGGAACUCGGCAAAAUGACCCCGUAACUUCGGGAGAAGGGGUGCCUUUGUAGUGUGAGGUUUUUAACAGACUGAGCAUGAAGAGGCCGCAGAGAAAAGGCCCAAGCGACUGUUUAGCAAAAACACAGGUGCCUGCAAAGUCGAAAGACGACGUAUAGGUGCUGACGCCUGCCCGGUGCUGGAAGGUUAAGAGGAGAGGUCAACGGAAAGGUGAAGCUUUGAAUUGAAGCCCCAGUAAACGGCGGCCGUAACUAUAACGGUCCUAAGGUAGCGAAAUUCCUUGUCGGGUAAGUUCCGACCCGCACGAAAGGCGUAACGAUUUGGGCACUGUCUCAACAAGGGACUCGGCGAAAUUGUAAUACCGGUGAAGAUACCGGUUACCUGCGACAGGACAGAAAGACCCCGUGGAGCUUUACUGCAGCCUGACAUUGGAUUUUGGUAUAUCACGUACAGGAUAGGUGGGAGACUAAGAAUCUGGAACGCCAGUUUCAGAGGAGUCGACGGUGGGAUACCACUCUUGAUGUGCUGAAAUUCUAACUUCAAGCCGUAAGCCGGCUGAAGGACAUUGUCAGGUGGGCAGUUUGACUGGGGCGGUCGCCUCCCAAAGAGUAACGGAGGCGCCCAAAGGUUCCCUCAGCGCGGAUGGAAAUCGCGCGAAGAGUGUAAAGGCAGAAGGGAGCUUGACUGCGAGAGAGACAUCUCGAGCAGGGACGAAAGUCGGGCUUAGUGAUCCGGCGGUACCGAGUGGAAGGGCCGUCGCUCAACGGAUAAAAGCUACCCCGGGGAUAACAGGCUUAUCUCCCCCAAGAGUCCACAUCGACGGGGAGGUUUGGCACCUCGAUGUCGGCUCAUCGCAUCCUGGGGCUGUAGUAGGUCCCAAGGGUUGGGCUGUUCGCCCAUUAAAGCGGUACGUGAGCUGGGUUCAGAACGUCGUGAGACAGUUCGGUCCCUAUCCGUCGCAGGCGGAGGAAAUUUGAGAGGCACUGUCCCUAGUACGAGAGGACCGGGAUGGACAGACCACUGGUGUACCAGUUAUCCUGCCAAGGGUACAGCUGGGUAGCUAAGUCUGGCAGGGAUAAGCGCUGAAAGCAUCUAAGCGCGAAGCCCCCCUUAAGAUAAGAUUUCCCACAGCGAAAGCUGAUAAGACCCCAGAAAGACGAACUGGUAGAUAGGCCGGGUGUGGAAGGGCAGUAAUGUCCGGAGCUGACCGGUACUAAUAGGUCGAGGACUUGACCUU
Molecule: ribosomal RNA, 2943 nt
Filed under: Dehalobacterium formicoaceticum
Lineage: Bacteria; Bacillati; Bacillota; Clostridia; Eubacteriales; Peptococcaceae
Description: bacterial LSU rRNA
Rfam family: Bacterial large subunit ribosomal RNA
Source: RNAcentral